Molecule: long non-coding RNA, 373 nt
Filed under: Nicotiana benthamiana
Lineage: Eukaryota; Viridiplantae; Streptophyta; Magnoliopsida; Solanales; Solanaceae
Description: long non-coding RNA (NBEN_LNC026187)
Source: RNAcentral
GCACUAAGAAAAGAAGCGGAACUAUUAGCCUUACGUGAGGCAAAAGAAAAAGACAAGCUUGAAAAUGCCUUGACAGAUCAGGCAAAUCAAUACCAGGAAUUUACUUGGGAAGAAAUUGUAUCUUCCACCUCUUCAUUUGCUGAAAAUCUUAAAAUUGGUACAGGCGCAUAUGGAACCGUUUAUAAGUGCAGCUUGCGUCAUACUACAGUCGCUGUCAAAGUUCUUCACUCCAAGGGAUCUGACCUGACGAAGCAUCAGUACCAGGAAUUUACUUGGGAAGAAAUCGUAUCUUCCACCUUUUCAUUUGCUGAAAAUCUUAAAAUUGGUAUGGGCGCAUAUGGAACCGUUUAUAAGUGCAGCUUGCGCCAUACUA